CCCUUAGAUGUUCUGGGCCGCACGCGCGCUACACUGACGAAUGCAACGAGCUUAUAACCUUGGCCGAAAGGUCUGGGUAAUCUCCAAAUUUCGUCGUGAUGGGGAUAGAUUAUUGCAAUUAUUAAUCUUCAACGAGGAAUGCCUAGUAAGCGCAAGUCAUCAGCUUGCGUUGAUUACGUCUCUGCCCUUUGUACACACCGCCCGUCGCUCCUACCGAUUGAAUGGUCCGGUGAAGCGUUCGGACCGUGGCCUUUGGACGGUUCGCCGUCUGUUGGCUGCGGGAAGUUCGUUAAACCUUAUCAUUUAGAGGAAGGAGAANUCGUANCA
RNAcentral lists this ribosomal RNA (327 nucleotides) under uncultured eukaryote. Its description in RNAcentral is "partial 18S ribosomal RNA". It matches the Rfam family "Eukaryotic small subunit ribosomal RNA", at positions 1470 to 1796 of the family's 1831-position model. The record is from RNAcentral.